UACAGAGGGUGCGAGCGUUAAUCGGAAUUACUGGGCGUAAAGCGUGCGUAGACGGUUAUUUAAGUCGGGUGUGAAAGCCCCGGGCUCAACCUGGGAAUUGCAUUCGAGACUGAAUAGCUAGGGUACGGUAGAGGGAAGCGGAAUUUCCGGUGUAGCGGUGAAAUGCGUAGAUAUCGGAAGGAACAUCAGUGGCGAAAGCGGCUUCCUGGACCAGUACCGACGUUCAGGCACGAAAGCUUGGGGAGCAAACAGG
RNAcentral lists this ribosomal RNA (253 nucleotides) under uncultured bacterium. RNAcentral describes it as "partial 16S ribosomal RNA". It matches the Rfam family "Bacterial small subunit ribosomal RNA", at positions 524 to 776 of the family's 1533-position model. The record is from RNAcentral.